UUAUCACACGGAACGAUCUUUUGGUCAUAUCUUGUUAGUUGGUAGUAGAAGAACAUUUCUUUUUACCUUGGUUAGCUGUGAUUUGGAGAAAUCUGUUGAGCAUGUGAGUCUGUCAAGGAGAACCUAGCAGAAAAUACGCAACAACCUUUUAAGGAAACUCCAUAUAAUUCGAAAGGCAACACAUAUACGUUGACCACUUACAAAUCAGUUCCAUCGCCUGUCACGAGCACAUCGUCCACAGAUAAUGAUGGGAAGCAUUUGGAGAAAUGCAAAUCCUUGAUGAACGCUUCGUUUUUACAAUACUCUCGUGGUAGUCUAUUGCUUAUAGGAUCCUGCUAUUAUAAGCAACGUCCCAUUGGUAGCGGACGUCUACAACCUAAUAAGUGGUCCGAUAUUUAUUAUUUGGCAUCUCAACAUUAUAAUAACAACAAUUCAGCAGAGACGAAAUAGCGAUUUGGUAUCAACGGAUGGAAAUGAGAGCGAAGAAAAAUCGUCUUUUAAGGAUAGACAUGAUAUUGUCACCAAAAACUAUGUGAAACCAGUAAUGUCCGGAUUUUUAUUUGUAUUUAGCUUGAAAUACUAAAAGUAUCGGUUUCGAUGAUGACCGAUCGAGAAAGUUUAUUGUCGGAAAAACAAGAAAAUUCUGUUGAAGGUGAUGGUGAUAUCAAUAACGACGAGUUUAAAAAAGAAAAUCCCACUCAAAAAGCUAAUUUGAUUUAAUCAAAAUGGUCAUCACACGUUCAAAAUAGUACACAUUCCAAAAGCCUUCAAAAAAAUGAAGUUAACGCAAACGCUCAGGACAAGAAUGUUAGCGGAAAAAAGGAUGCAAGUCCAAAAAAACAAAUAAUAAACCAUUACGCUCCUUUAAUCAUAUCUGCCAUUUUUAUUCGCCUCUGGCUCAAAAUCCAAUGUUCAGGCA
This is a long non-coding RNA of Glossina fuscipes, 919 nucleotides long. RefSeq lists it as uncharacterized. The transcript has 4 exons. The record is from RefSeq and is a predicted model, not a curated record. Lineage: Eukaryota; Metazoa; Arthropoda; Insecta; Diptera; Glossinidae.